GAUGAAGAACGUAGCGAAAUGCGAUACGUAAUGUGAAUUGCAGAAUUCAGUGAAUCAUCGAGUCUUUGAACGCACAUUGCGCCCCCUGGUAUUCCGGGGGGCAUGCCUGUCCGAGCGUCAUUGCUGCCCUCAAGCACGGCUUGUGUGUUGGGCCUCCGUCCUCCUCCCGGGGGACGGGCCCGAAAGGCAGCGGCGGCACCGCGUCCGGUCCUCGAGCGUAUGGGGCUUCGUCACCCGCUCUUGUAGGCCCGGUCGGCGCUUGCCGACACAUCAAUCUUUUUUCCAGGUUGACCUUGGAUCAGGUAGGGAUACCCGCUGAACUUAAGCAUAUCAAUAAGCGGAGGA
This 345-nucleotide unclassified non-coding RNA is filed under the name soil metagenome. Its description in RNAcentral is "partial contains 5.8S ribosomal RNA, internal transcribed spacer 2, and large subunit ribosomal RNA". The stretch from base 1 to 120 matches the Rfam family "5.8S ribosomal RNA", at positions 35 to 154 of the family's 154-position model. The record is from RNAcentral.